CCGACGGUGAGAGGCGAAAGCUGGGGGAGCAAACCGGAUUAGAUACCCGGGUAGUCCCAGCCGUAAACGAUGCUCGCUAGGUGUCUGGGAUGGUGCGACCGUUUCAGGUGCCGCAGGGAAGCCGUGAAGCGAGCCACCUGGGAAGUACGGCCGCAAGGCUGAAACUUAAAGGAAUUGGCGGGGGAGCACUACAACGGGUGGAGCCUGCGGUUUAAUUGGAUUCAACGCCGGAAAACUCACCUGGGGC
Molecule: ribosomal RNA, 247 nt
Filed under: uncultured archaeon
Lineage: Archaea
Description: partial 16S ribosomal RNA
Rfam family: Archaeal small subunit ribosomal RNA
Source: RNAcentral